AGUAUUCCAUUGUGUAUAUGUAUCACACCUUUAUCCAUUCAUCUACUGAUGGACACUUAGGUUGUUUCCAUAUCUUGGCUCUUGUAAAUAGUGGAAGCCUUCUUUUUAUGAGAUUGUUGCCACUGUGCAGAUCCACAAUCCCUAGCCCACAGUGUAAAGAUCUAACAAGCUCUAACGUGGAAAGUUUUAAGGUUGUCACCAAAACUUAUUUGACAGCAAAACCUGACUUGAACUGAGGUUAGAACUAAUAAUCUACCCGCUUCAAGUGAAUAAUCAUCUAUUGCUACAGAAGUAUGUUUGGUAAUAAAAUACUACCCAGGUUGGUAUAUGCACUACUUUACCUUUCUAAACUCUGAAAAGUUCUAAAUUCCAAAAUGCAUCUGGCUUCAAGGAUUUUGAUAGGAGAUUGUGAACCUGUGACACAUCAGAAAGUUGUGUGGCAGUAGGCGGUGCACACCAUGAAAACUAUACUUCCUCUGUAACUUUCAGCAAAUCAAGAAGUCUUAAAUAAAGUUGAAGUUCAGUAUAAGACUCUCCCAGGAUGGAAAACAGACAUAUCAAAUGCAAGGACAUUUAAAGAACUACCUGUUAAUGCACAGAAUUAUGUUCGAUUUAUUGAAGAUGAGCUUCAAAUUCCAGUUAAAUGGAUUGGUGUAGGUAAAUCGAGAGAGUCUAUGAUUCAACUCUUUUAAAGGUUUCCAGUGACAUAAGAAACACUCCUUGCAACAGGAAGGACUUUCUUAAAUAUUUCAUUUAUGAGCUACAAAUUUCAAGAAUAAAGACACUGAAGUGAGUUGUAAGCUCUGCAGUUGUUCCCUGUCUUUUAGAAGGGAUGUCUGCUGAGGAGAGAGCUGGAGCAUUACAGUGGCAGUGUCCUCAGCUGGCGUGAUGGCCGAAUCGUUUGCUCUCCUGCUGCUCAUGGUGCCACAUUUUCUUUUAAUGUUUAGCAAUAGUAUGAUCCAUGUUGUUUGAAAUCCAAAAUAGUUACUUUUCAAUGUAGCUUUUUUUCAUUAUUUUCAUUGUGUGUUCAUAAGUUUUACCUUCAUUAAAUGGUAAGAACAUUUAAUGCAGUUUUGCACAAAUAUUUUUACAUUCUGAUUGUUCAGUCUGUCAUUGUAAUCUUUGCUGUUAAAAAAAAUGCAGAGAGGGGUUCUGUAAACCUUUGUAAUGCUAUGAAUUCUGUUUAAAUUGUGAACUGUGUAUUUUCAUCUGAGACCAUUGCAAAUUUGAGCUUUGGUGGGCAGAGGGGGUUAUAUUCAGGGGUCCUUUAAUUUGUACAGAACAUAAAACUUAUUUCUCUGUAAAUUAUUUAAUACACUGAACAUUUAAUUAAAUGUUCAAAGAGGAAAUGUGUUGCCUAAAACAACAAUAUUAAUGUUAAAGAAUUAGUCAUUAAAAGGUCUAUUGUGAUAUUUGGUGUAUAUUUUUCUUUAAUUUCAGAUAUUAACUCUGAAAUGCAUAGCUUUCCUUUUUUUAUCAUUUCUAAAUUUAGUGAAUUGAUUUCUGAACAUUGUGCCUGCCAGUAUGCCUACAAAAUCAUCUCUAAGUGUCCAAAUGAACCCAAAUCAUUGGUCAUACUUUUGAUCAUGCCUUUAUUUUUCCUUUGAAAAAAAACAGAUGUUAUUUUGAUAAUAGGUUUAACAUAUUAUGUUGUAGCUUUUCCUUCAGUGAACUAUUUUAAAUGUUUAAAUUAGGUGCCACUUAUUUUAUUAUAUCAUCAAUAGCUGAUUAAAAAGAACCAAAUAUUUGUAGUAUG
Manis javanica (Malayan pangolin) is the source of this 1756-nucleotide non-coding RNA. Lineage: Eukaryota; Metazoa; Chordata; Mammalia; Pholidota; Manidae. The record is from RefSeq and is a predicted model, not a curated record.